CCCUUAGAUGUUCUGGGCCGCACGCGUGCUACACUGAGUGGAUCAGCGGGUCAGGUUGCGCGAAAGCGUUUCCUAAUCUUUAAAUCCGCUCGUGAUGGGGAUUGAAGGUUGCAAUUUUCUGUCAUGAACGAGGAAUACCUUGUAAGCGCGGGUCAUCAUCCCGCGCUGAAUACGUCCCUGCCCUUUGUACACACCGCCCGUCGCUCCUACCGAUUGAGUGGUCCGGUGAGGCUUUGGGAUCUGAGCGGAAAGAGCGUUUCGCUGUUUCUGCUCGGAAAACUCAGUCGAACCUUAUCAUUUAGAGGAAGGAGAAGUCGUAACA
RNAcentral lists this ribosomal RNA (322 nucleotides) under uncultured eukaryote. RNAcentral's name for it is "partial 18S ribosomal RNA". It matches the Rfam family "Eukaryotic small subunit ribosomal RNA", at positions 1470 to 1796 of the family's 1831-position model. The record is from RNAcentral.